RNAcentral lists this ribosomal RNA (492 nucleotides) under uncultured bacterium. RNAcentral's name for it is "partial 16S ribosomal RNA". It matches the Rfam family "Bacterial small subunit ribosomal RNA", at positions 29 to 507 of the family's 1533-position model. The record is from RNAcentral.
AGUGAACGCUGGCGGUAGGCCUAACACAUGCAAGUCGAACGGCAGCACAGUAAGAGCUGGCUCUUACGUGUGGCGAGUGGCGGACGGUGGAGUAAUACAUCGGAAUCUACUUUUUCGUGGGGGAUAACGUAGGGAAACUUACGCUAAUACCGCAUACGACCUACGGGUGAGAGCAGGGGAUCGUCGGACCUUGCGCUAGUGAAUGAGCCGAUGUCGGAUUAGCUAGUUGGCGGGGUAAAGGCGCACAUAGGCGACGAUCGGUAGCUGGUCUGAGAGGAUGAUCAGACAGCCUGGAACUGAGACACGGCACAGACUCCUACGGGAGGACGCAGUGGGGACUCCUGCACAAUGGGGGAAAGCCUGAUACAGCCAUACCGCGUGGGUGAAGAAGGCCUUAGGGUUGUAAAGCCAUUUUGUUCGGAAAGAAAAGCAGCAGGUUAAUACCCCGCUGUUAUGACGGUACCCAAAGAAUAAGCACCGGCUAACUUCGUG